UACGGGGGGGGCAAGCGUUGUUCGGAAUUACUGGGCGUAAAGGGCUAGUAGGCGGCCGACUAAGUCGGAUGUGAAAUCCCCAGGCUCAACUUGGGAACUGCAUCCGAUACUGGUUGGCUUGAAUCCGGGAGAGGGAUGCAGAAUUCCAGGUGUAGCGGUGAAAUGCGUAGAUAUCUGGAGGAACACCGGUGGUGUAGACGGCUUUCUGGACCGUAACUGACGCUGAGACACGAAAGCGUGGGUAGCAAACAGG
RNAcentral lists this ribosomal RNA (253 nucleotides) under uncultured bacterium. RNAcentral describes it as "partial 16S ribosomal RNA". It matches the Rfam family "Bacterial small subunit ribosomal RNA", at positions 524 to 776 of the family's 1533-position model. The record is from RNAcentral.